GAUUAAUGAUUAAAAGUUUUACUACAGAAUUUUAUAAUUAUGAGGCUUUCUACACUUGAUCUGAGAUCA
This is a small nucleolar RNA of Leptonychotes weddellii (Weddell seal), 69 nucleotides long. RefSeq annotates it as small nucleolar RNA U2-30. NCBI's taxonomy places the organism in Eukaryota, Metazoa, Chordata, Mammalia, Carnivora, Phocidae. The record is from RefSeq and is a predicted model, not a curated record.